UACAGAGACUGCAAGCGUUAUUCGGAUUCACUGGGCGUAAAGGGUGCGCAGGCGGCCGUGUGUGUUGGGCGUGAAAGCCCGGGGCUUAACCCCGGAAUUGCGCCCAAAACUACAUGGCUAGAGCAUUGGAGAGGGUAGCAGAAUUCAUGGUGUAGCAGUGAAAUGCGUAGAUAUCAUGAGGAAUACCAGAGGCGAAGGCGGCUACCUGGACAAUUGCUGACGCUCAGGCACGAAAGCGUGGGGAGCAAACAGG
This 253-nucleotide ribosomal RNA is filed under the name uncultured bacterium. Its description in RNAcentral is "partial 16S ribosomal RNA". It matches the Rfam family "Bacterial small subunit ribosomal RNA", at positions 524 to 776 of the family's 1533-position model. The record is from RNAcentral.